This 2154-nucleotide long non-coding RNA is filed under the name Citrus x clementina. Its description in RNAcentral is "Citrus clementina (C. clementina) long non-coding RNA (CCLE_LNC006723)". The record is from RNAcentral. Lineage: Eukaryota; Viridiplantae; Streptophyta; Magnoliopsida; Sapindales; Rutaceae.
UUUAAAAAAUUAUUUCAAACAAAAAAUAUAUGACAUAUUCUUUUGGGAGAUUAUUUUUUUUUUAUCAGACAAAUAAAAACAACUUUUUUUUUUCAAAAUAAGAAUAGGAUAUAUUCUUUUGGCGAACAUCGAGUCCCACCACAUUUAUUGAUUUUGAAAGGGUCACCUUUCAAGUCCACAGAAUAGCUUGAUUUUUAAUGCGAAGGAAGACAAUUAGGCAACUCUUUUGUUCAUUUUCUUAAUUAUUACGUGAAUAUAAAACAAAAACGGUACCAUAAAUUUUCAUUGAUAGUUUGGUACCCAGUUUAAUCUGCAUGCAAACGUCAUGUCUCAUCACACAGGCUUUAUCAGGUCGGAGAUUUACUCCCUGGACUGGGAGAAAAACUCAGAUGAGACAGGUGUAUUAUGUCAGCAUAUUGAGGUGGAACCCAGAAAAAAUUUAUUUUAAAUUUAUGCAAUCCGGAAUAGACAUUACUCUCAUUAUUGCAUAUUUGCAUGUUUGCUUCUUGGUUCUUUCGUUGUCACAUGAAUAUGAUUUGAUCACCAAUUUAAAUUAGCCAGCUCAAAUACAUCUUUCUGUAUGUAAAGAUCCAUCGUUUUCGGAAGCUUGCUUUUAAAUUUGCACACGUAUUCAUUAUCUCAUGUGAUAGCUACAUCUGAACGAUAAAAUUUGAAAUGCAGGCCAUGAUUGGAAGUAAGGAUCAUAGGGUAGGAAUGGAUUAAUUUUUAGAAUGAAAUAAAUUAAUCUAGUGUUGAAUAUGUUUGACUGUUAAAUUAGUUGAUUACUCCAAAAAAAUAGUGAGACUAAUAAUCCUCAUUUCAGUUUGAGUUUAGGUUGGAUAAAAUUGUUUUUAAAUUGAAUAUAAAAAAAAUAAUUUUGUAAUAUAUUUAAACUAUAAUUUUAUAUAACAUUAAAUAUCAAAGAUUUAAUUCAAAAUUUAUUUACGUUAGUGUACAUAAAUAUUAAAUUCAACAAUUAGUAGUGUUAUUUAAAAUAAUUAUAAAAUUGAAAUGGUUAUUUAUCUGUAUUACAUUAUAUUUAUAAACAUGGUCAUUUGCCACAUUGUACCAAACAAAAAACUCUAUUAUAUAUAAUUCAACCUGAUACAUUCUAAUUCAAAAUCUAAUUCUAAAAGUUAAUUCAUUUUAACCAUACUUUCCAAAUUUGAAAGCUUAAGUGACUAAACCUUGGAUUAUAUUUAGGUGAUGUUCGACAGCAAGAAUUGAGAGGGGAGGAGAGGAAAGGAGAGGAAAAGAAGGAGAAUAGAGGAAAGGAGAGAACAAUGAUGCAGAAUCUAAUUUCCAUUAUUCGGAUUCUUACAGAAAUUUAGUGGAAUGGAAUUGCAAAUUUUUUGGUUGGACAAUUUCAACCUUUGACGUAAUAUUUAUUAUUAAAAUUUUACUAUUUAACUAAGUACAUUAUUUUUAAAUUUUCUUUUAAAUAAAAAAUUGUUUAAUAUAAAAAAAAUUAUAAGUCAAUUUUUUUUAUUUCUUUAAUUUGAAAUUUUAUUUUAAAAUAAGAAUUGAAAUAGCUUGCCGGCGAAGUCACUAGGUCCUUCGUCGUAACCACCGCUAACAGCUCCGGAACAUUUUCACAUGCGUGAAUUCACCAUUCUGAUCUAUUCAACUGGAGCACUAGUUUUGCCUUAUAAUUUGCCAAUUAAUCAGAAAGAAUAGUGUUUUGAUGAAUCCGAAAACUUUGAUCAGAAUUUUGAACAAUAUGUCACCGAUUUUUUAGCCCAAAAGGAGUGUCAGCACAUAGAUCGGCCAUGCGCGGAUCCAAUGGUGUCGGCGAUGAUGUUAGAUGCUUGCACGUCGGUGGCUGUCUACCAGCCUGGCUGCAGCAAGUGGCUGUACGGCAAGCUAAUUAAAUAAGACUUCCAAAAGGAGCAAAUUUAAAAGCUUUUUCUGGCUGUGGAGGAGUUUUGAUUCCUCACUCUUUCAAUUUAAUAGAAAUUAAAAUUGUAUGGAAAUUGCAUUCCAUAAUUUUAUUGCCAAUCAAACAAUUGAAAGGGAAAAUAAUUUCAAAUUCCUUUCAUUUCCCCAAUUCCUUUACCCAACUGAGUAUAAUCUUAGAGUAAUGAGAUGCUUAUAAAAUUUGGAUUCAAAUUCUUAAAGGCUGCUUGCUUUUUGUAAUUUUAAUUAUUUUCAAAA